This 1430-nucleotide long non-coding RNA is filed under the name Zonotrichia albicollis (white-throated sparrow). Its description in RNAcentral is "lncRNA (ENSZALG00000009126.1)". The record is from RNAcentral. Lineage: Eukaryota; Metazoa; Chordata; Aves; Passeriformes; Passerellidae.
CAGGGCCCAAAGGUCCCUCCAGGGCUGUCCAGGCUCUUCUGGCUCCCAUCCCUCCAGGGAUGUCCAGGUUGUGUUCCUGACCCAUCCCUCCAGGAAUGCCCGGGUUCUCCUGACCCAUCCCAGCAGGAAUGCCCAGGUUCUCCUGACCCAUCUCUCCAGGGAUGCCCAGGUUGUGUUCCUGACCCAUUUCCAGGUUCUUUUCCUGUCCCAUCUCUCCAGGGAUGCCCACGCUGUUGUCUUCACCCAUCCCAGCAGGAAUGCCCAGGUUCUUCUCCUGACCCAUCUUUCCAGGGAUGUCCAGGCUGUUGUGGCUCCCAUCUCUCCAGAGAUGUCCAGGUUGUGUUUCUGACCCAUCCCUUCUGGGAUGUUCAGCUUUCACUCCUGUCCCAUCCCUCCAGGGAUGUCCAGGUUGUUCUCCUGACCCAUCUCCAGGUUCUUUUCCUCACCCAUCUCUCCAGGGAUGUCCAGCUUGUUCUGGUUCCCAUCUCUCCAGAGCUGUCCAAGUUCUUCUCCUGACCUAUCUCCAGGUUCUUUUCCUGACCCAUUUCUCCAGGGACGUCUGGCUCCCAUCCCUCUGGGGAUGUCUGGGUUCUUCUCCUGAUCCAUCUCUCCAGAGACGCCCAGGUUGUUCUCCUGAGGUUCUUCUCCUGUCCCAUCUCCCCAGGCAUGUCCAGGUUUUUCUCCUGAGGUUGUUUUCCUAUCCCAUCCCUCCAGGGCUGUCUAGGCUGUUUUCCUGACCUAUCUCCAGGUUCUUCUCCUAUCCCAUCUCUCCAGAGAUGUCCAGGUUUUUCUCCUGAGGUUCUUCUCCUGUCCCAGCUCUCCAGGGCUCCCCAGCUUGUUCUCCUGAGGUUCUUCUCCUGUCCCAUCUCCCCAGGCAUGUCCAGGUUUUUCUCCUGAGGUUCUUCUCCUAUCCCAUCCCUCCAGAGUUCCCCAGCUUGUUCUCCUGAAGUUCUUCUCCUGUCCCAUCUCUCCAGGGCUGCCCAGGCUGUUUUCCUGACCUAUCUCCAGGUUCUUUACCUGUCCAAACCCUCCAGGGAUGCCCAGGGUAUGUUCCUGAGGCUGUUUCGCUGUCCCAUCUCCCCAGGGCUCCCCAGCUUGUUCUCUGAUGUUCUUCUCCUCUCCCAUCUCCCCAGGCAUGUCCAGGUUUUUCUCCUGAGGUUCUUUUCCUAUCCCAUCCUUCCAGGGCUGCCCAGGCUGUUUUCCUGACCUAUCUCCAGGUUCUUUACCUGUCCCAUCUCCCCAGGGAUGCCCAAGUUUUUCUCCUGAGGUUCUUCUCUUGUCCCAGCCCUCCAGGGCUCCCCAGCUUGUUCUCCUGAGGUUCUUCUCCUCUCCCAUCUCCCCAGGGCUGCCCAGGCUGUUCUGGCUCCCAUCCCCAAGUCCCUUCCCUCUGUCAGCAGACCCCGAGUGCCCCUGCCCAGAGCCAUUCCCAG